UUUGAUCCUGGCUCAGAUUGAACGCUGGCGGCAGGCCUAACACAUGCUAGUCGAACGGUAACAGGAAGAAGCUUGCUUCUUUGCUGACGAGUGGCGGACGGGUGAGUAAUGUCUGGGAAACUGCCUGAUGGAGGGGGAUAACUACUGGAAACGGUAGCUAAUACCGCAUAACGUCGCAAGACCAAAGAGGGGGACCUUCGGGCCUCUUGCCAUCGGAUGUGCCCAGAUGGGAUUAGCUUGUUGGUGGGGUAACGGCUCACCAAGGCGACGAUCCCUAGCUGGUCUGAGAGGAUGACCAGCCACACUGGAACUGAGACGCGGUCCAGACUCCUACGGGAGGCAGCAGUGGGGAAUAUUGCACAAUGGGCGCAAGCCUGAUGCAGCCAUGCCGCGUGUAUGAAGAAGGCCUUCGGGUUGUAAAGUACUUUCAGCGGGGAGGAAGGGAGUAAAGUUAAUACCUUUGCUCAUUGACGUUACCCGCAGAAGAAGCACCGGCUAACUCCGUGCCAGCAGCCGCGGUAAUACGGAGGGUGCAAGCGUUAAUCGGAAUUACUGGGCGUAAAGCGCACGCAGGCGGUUUGUUAAGUCAGAUGUGAAAUCCCCGGGCUCAACCUGGGAACUGCAUCUGAUACUGGCAAGCUUGAGUCUCGUAGAGGGGGGUAGAAUUCCAGGUGUAGCGGUGAAAUGCGUAGAGAUCUAAAGGAAUACCGGUGGCGUGGGCGGCCCCCUGGAAGAAGAUUGACGUUCAGGUGGGAAAGCGUGGGGGAGCAAACAGGAUUAGAUACCCUGGUAGUCCACGCCGUAAACGAUGUCGACUUGGAGGUUGUGCCCUUGAGGCGUGGCUUCGCGGAGCUAACGCGUUAAGUCGACCGCCCUGGGGAGUACGGCCGCAAGGUUAAAACUCAAAUGAAUUGACGGGGGCCCGCACAAGCGGUGGAGCAUGUGGUUUAAUUGGAUGCAACGCGAAGAACCUUACCUGGUCUUGACAUCCACGGAAGUUUUCAGAGAUGAGAAUGUGCCUUCGGGAACCGUGAGACAGGUGCUGCAUGGCUGUGGUCAGCUCGUGUUGUGAAAUGUUGGGUUAAGUCCCGCAACGAGCGCAACCCUUUUCUUUUGUUGCCAGGGGUCCGGCCGGGAACUCAAAGGAGACUGCCAGUGAUAAACUGGAGGAAGGUGGGGAUGACGUCAAGUCAUCAUGGCCCUUACGACCAGGGCUACACACGUGCUACAAUGGCGCAUACAAAGAGAAGCGACCUCGCGAGAGCAAGCGGACCUCAUAAAGUGCGUCGUAGUCCGGAUUGGAGUCUGCAACUCGACUCCAUGAAGUCGGAAUCGCUAGUAAUCGUGGAUCAGAAUGCCACGGUGAAUACGUUCCCGGGCCUUGUACACACCGCCCGUCACACCAUGGGAGUGGGUUGCAAAAGAAGUAGGUAGCUUAACCUUCGGGAGGGCGCUUACCACUUUGUGAUUCAU
RNAcentral lists this ribosomal RNA (1473 nucleotides) under uncultured bacterium. Its description in RNAcentral is "bacterial SSU rRNA". It matches the Rfam family "Bacterial small subunit ribosomal RNA". The record is from RNAcentral.